This is a non-coding RNA of Felis catus (domestic cat), 85 nucleotides long. Lineage: Eukaryota; Metazoa; Chordata; Mammalia; Carnivora; Felidae. The record is from Rfam.
GCCUGGGUGGCUCAGUCGGUUGAGCGUCCGACUUCGGCUCAGGUCAUGAUCUCACGGUUCGUGAGUUCGAGCCCCGCGUCAGGCU